GAUGAACGCUGGCGGCGUGCUUAACACAUGCAAGUCGAACGAAGCACUUUAUUACGAUUUCUUCGGAAUGACGAUUUAGUGACUGAGUGGCGGACGGGUGAGUAACGCGUGGGUAACCUGCCUCAUACAGGGGGAUAACAGUUGGAAACGACUGCUAAUACCGCAUAAGCGCACGGUAUCGCAUGAUACAGUGUGAAAAACUCCGGUGGUAUGAGAUGGACCCGCGUCUGAUUAGCUAGUUGGCGAGGUAACGGCCCACCAAGGCAACGAUCAGUAGCCGACCUGAGAGGGUGAACGGCCACAUUGGGACUGAGACACGGCCCAAACUCCUACGGGAGGCAGCAGUGGGGAAUAUUGCACAAUGGGGGAAACCCUGAUGCAGCGACGCCGCGUGAGUGAUGAAGUAUUCGGUAUGUAAACUUCUAUCAGCAGGGAAG
Molecule: ribosomal RNA, 437 nt
Filed under: uncultured bacterium
Lineage: Bacteria
Description: bacterial SSU rRNA
Rfam family: Bacterial small subunit ribosomal RNA
Source: RNAcentral